UCUGGAGUAAUCAAGAUUAUUAUUCUUUGCGCGUUUCUUUUGAAACUGCAGCAUUAGAGGAACAUACUUCUUCAGGACUUGUUUAGAAAGAUUGAGCGUGACGGAAUGUGUUUUUACGCGAUGUGGCACAGAGCACGGUUACAUCAUGUACAUGUUUUGUUAAAGCCCUAAUGAAAAGACCGUUCGAUUAAACAGCCGAUUUACGUGCCAAAGAAAAAUGAGCCUUGCAGAUCGGACGGAGCUUUGGGGAAACGCAUAUUGCUUAAAUAAUGGGACAAUUGAAGGGACACAAAGCCACAUGCAGAUUCCUCUCAUGCUGCUGUUGCAUAUUGUCCAGGAAAGAUCUCUGCUGAACUGACCGAUCACCCAGGAGCUUGGCAUCACCGGAUGAUUGCUUUCGUUCUAGAACGAAUGUAUAAUUUCAGUUA
Thalassophryne amazonica is the source of this 428-nucleotide long non-coding RNA. RefSeq lists it as uncharacterized. Lineage: Eukaryota; Metazoa; Chordata; Actinopteri; Batrachoidiformes; Batrachoididae. The transcript is spliced from 2 exons. The record is from RefSeq and is a predicted model, not a curated record.